Molecule: long non-coding RNA, 1239 nt
Organism: Leopardus geoffroyi (Geoffroy's cat)
Lineage: Eukaryota; Metazoa; Chordata; Mammalia; Carnivora; Felidae
Exons: 3
Source: RefSeq, a predicted model, not a curated record
AGAAGAAGAAAACUAGGACAGGAAGAGGGUAAAUCAAGCCAGAUCCACGAUGGCUGCUCUGGGCUUAAACCAGCUCCCUAAAGAGAAGGCUUUGGAGCAUGCUUUGUGGGUUUCCCAUGCCACUGGACUACUCAAGGUUAAUGGCUACCACAUGCCGGGAGCUGCUCAAAGCUGCAGAACUCCACUCUCAAGAUGGACAAAGGGUACCACCCGCUCACGGGAACUCUUCUGUGACCACGUAAAGAAGCCUGGCUGGCCUACUAGAAGAUGAGACCGCAUGGAACAGACACAAGUCUCCCCAGCUGAUGCCCCAAAGCAGCCAGGCCCCAGCUCAUCCACCAGAAGACCGCAGCUUCAGGAGCAACUCCAGCCAAGACCAGAAGAACUGCUCAGCUAAGCCCAGCCCAAAGUGCUGACCUAUGGAAUUGUGAGCAAAUAAAAUCAUUGAUGUUUUAAGCUAUGACACUUUGGCGUGAUCUGUCCUGCAGGUGACCAGGGCAGGUUCCAAACCAGCAUGACAGAAUCUCAACAUUAGAGAGGGCUCUUUAGGUUCACCUGUUCCAACCCCUUAUUAGUAUGUACAUUCCUUCUGCAUUCUGUUUACUGAGCACCUGCUCUGUGCGGGAUAACUUCCAGAUGCAGCAAUAAUAAAACCACAGUUAGUAGUUACUGAACAAUUCAUAUAUUCCUGGAAUUACUCUAGAUGUAUUAAAUAGAUCAGUGAUCAUUAGUCUGGGAUCUGCACACCAUUGGGCACUCUUAGGAAGAGCAAUUUUGAGGAAAGCAGUUUCUAGGUCCUCACCUAGCAUGGUAUUCUUUCCUCAGAAUUCAUUCUCCUGAAACAUGCCUGAGUUCUGGCUGUAUUCCUUUCCCUCCCUCCUCAUCACAUCAUCCUUUCUCUGCACAAAAUUGAACGCAUGCCUCUCACCCAUCCUGGCUUGUACUAUGGAGACUUGUACUAAGGGUAAAUAGUAGGCACCAAACAAGAAAUGAUUUGAAACCUUGGUGCCGGUGUUGAGAAAGCGAAUGACCAAUGGCUGGGCAUCUAAACCUUUCACCAGCAGAGAAGUUUCCAAUACUUUGCUUUCAGCAAGGAUUAAAUAAUAACCUAAUCCAGUUGUCAGCUGGGAGAGUAUUAAAAAUCAUUUUCAAUGACUGAUCACUAUAUGACUUCGGACAUGUAACUCCGUAGUACACAAAAUACUGAAUAGUAUAAAGAAAACUUCAUCCAUUCCUGCC